AUUGAACGCUAGCGGCAUGCCUAACACAUGCAAGUCGAACGGCACGCGGGGGGAGCUUGCUCCCUGACGGCGAGUGGCGGACGGGUGAGUAACACGUAGGAAUCUACCUUAAUUAUAAUAGUUAGUGGGGGAUAACCCGGGGAAACUCGGGCUAAUACCGCAUAAUCUCUUCAAAGCAAAGCGGGGGAUCUUCGGACCUCGUGCUAUGAGAUGAGCCUGCGUCGGAUUAGCUAGUUGGUAGGGUAAUGGCCUACCAAGGCGACGAUCCGUAGCUGGUCUGAGAGGACGAUCAGCCACACUGGGACUGAGACACGGCCCAGACUCCUACGGGAGGCAGCAGUGGGGAAUAUUGGACAAUGGGGGAAACCCUGAUCCAGCAAUGCCGCGUGUGUGAAGAAGGCCUUCGGGUUGUAAAGCACUUUCAGUGGGGAAGAAAUUCUCAAGGCUAAUACCCUUUUGAGCGUUGCGUUACCCCA
This 476-nucleotide ribosomal RNA is filed under the name uncultured Coxiella sp. RNAcentral's name for it is "bacterial SSU rRNA". It matches the Rfam family "Bacterial small subunit ribosomal RNA", at positions 30 to 482 of the family's 1533-position model. Lineage: Bacteria; Pseudomonadati; Pseudomonadota; Gammaproteobacteria; Legionellales; Coxiellaceae. The record is from RNAcentral.